UACGUAGGGUGCUAGCGUUGUUCGGAAUCAUUGGGCGUAAAGCGCGCGCAGGCGGUGCGGUAAGUCCGUCGUGAAAUCUCCCGGCUCAACUGGGAGGGUGCGGUGGAGACUGCCGGACUGGAGGCACUCAGAGGCCGGUGGAAUUCCCGGUGUAGUGGUGAAAUGCGUAGAGAUCGGGAGGAACACCAGUGGCGAAGGCGGCCGGCUGGGGGUGACCUGACGCUGAGGCGCGAAAGCGUGGGGAGCGAACCGG
Molecule: ribosomal RNA, 253 nt
Filed under: uncultured bacterium
Lineage: Bacteria
Description: partial 16S ribosomal RNA
Rfam family: Bacterial small subunit ribosomal RNA
Source: RNAcentral